This 253-nucleotide ribosomal RNA is filed under the name uncultured bacterium. RNAcentral describes it as "partial 16S ribosomal RNA". It matches the Rfam family "Bacterial small subunit ribosomal RNA", at positions 524 to 776 of the family's 1533-position model. The record is from RNAcentral.
UACGGGGGGGGCAAGCGUUGUUCGGAAUUACUGGGCGUAAAGCGUGCGUAGACGGUUAUUUAAGUCGGGUGUGAAAGCCCCGGGCUCAACCUGGGAAUUGCAUUCGAGACUGAAUAGCUAGGGUACGGUAGAGGGAAGCGGAAUUUCCGGUGUAGCGGUGAAAUGCGUAGAUAUCGGAAGGAACAUCAGUGGCGAAAGCGGCUUCCUGGACCAGUACCGACGUUCAGGCACGAAAGCGUGGGGAGCAAAUAGG